UACAUAUUCUCUGUUCGAGAGUUUUGGAUUCGGUCCUUUGUUUCUAUGUCCUUUCUCCCUUUUAUACUUCAUAGACGAUCUCUUUGUGAUCAACUACUCUAAAAACUGCUUAAUCGUCAUAUAACUAUCCACUUUCUUCGUAAUGGCCACCUUGUCAUGAAAACUGCCUUUUAACUGCUGCCAUUACCCUUCAUCGUUCAACCGCUUUCGAUUGAAUUCCUUGAAUCGUGGAACGUGAUAGGGCUGCUUUAAUAACCGCUUUGAUAACUGCACUUCUUGAUAACCACGACGCGUUAUGUUUGUUAAUACCUUAGGCGACUUGAAGGUUUGGGCGAGAAUAGAGUAACAGCUCUGGGCGACUGUAUGACACUCCAUUCGCUCAGAUUCUGGGCGACUUGCAAACUUGGGCGAUGGCGUUACCGCGUUCUUGGCCCUCCUUAUUUAGGCCUUCAUCUUGAUUUGUUCAAUUGGGCUUCGUUCUUUGGGCUAUCUGAUUUGGGGAUUCUCCAAUUGGGCUUCCCUCCUUGGACUGUUCGAUUUGGGCUGAAUUUUUAUGUGCCAACAAUUACCCCCCAAUAUCGCAGAAUUAAUAAUAAUUAUUAAAUUUUUCCAUAUUCACUUUGUGUUUCCAGCAACAUUCGAAAUUCCCAAUAAUUUCAAUCAUUGUUUCUUUCUAUAACUUGAAAAGGUGCGUCAUUUUGCAAACCCUUAUAAACCCCAAACACGCCAUUUCACUGCCACCAAACCACGCCUCAUAUUUUUUGCGUCUUCUUCACGAUUCACUGUUCAUCUUUUGCUUCCCUGCUACGUAAUCCUGAAAAGCUUCAUUCCUUCUCAAAUGGCUGCUUCACAAUCUCAAGCUAGCGAUUCCUUUAGUUUUGAUGACUUUCAGAGACUUCUGAGUCGCCCAUACAUAACCCCAAGUUUUCUCGUGGAGGUAGUUGAACAGGCGGCGGUGGGUCAGCUGUUUCCUUGCACUCAUGGCCCUCCUUUUCUAAACUCUCUGCCACUGGGGCCACUUCGCGAAAGAGGUAUUCGCACUUGGCCUAAAUCUGAUGUAGCUUUUCGUAGGUGGCAUGCUCGCCUUGUGGGUCAUGGUCCUACCAAGGUACUUUUUGAUAGCGCUAGGAUUUCUGAUUUGUUGGAAAUCUCUAUCCGCCCCCGUACUUUUGAUUCAGCACUCUUUUCAAUUGCUUUGAGUUUUUGGUCUUCUGAGUAUAACAUCUUUAUUUUCCCUCUUGACCCCAUGUCUAUUACCUUAAGGGAUGUUGGGGCCCUGGUGAAUCUGCCACCUUUGGGCGAUACCAUUUUUCCUAGUAUCUUAGUCUCUGGUGGCGCCCCAAAGUUUGGUAGAAACUACACCGAUUCUUAUUCAAGCCUGCAGACCCUCCACAAUCAUUCAAGCGCUGAGCCUACCCAUACUGAACGAGUGGCCUUCCUUUUAGUUUGGCUUUGUAAAUAUGUUUUGUGCGUGCCAAGUAUAAAGCCCUCUCUGAGUUAUUUACCUAUAGCGCACGAAUUGGCGCGUGACGGGCCUUUGAAUUUAUGUUCUUUAUUUUUGGCUGCCCUUUAUAGAGGCAUGGCCUCUCUUCAAGCUCAAUUGAAGAAUGGUGCAUCUCCACUGGCAGUGGACCUCCUUGGUACACUCAACUGUGGUUGAGAUCCUAUUUUCCAUCGCUUGGUGCUCCAUCCAUUUCUCGCCCUUUUGCUAGCUGUUAUGGGCUAGCCAUGGAGCCCUUAACUCUUGUAAAUAUGUCCAGAAGGGACAUUUUUUCCAUUCUUUUAUUCUUUGGAUUCAAUCCCUUCAUUUUUUCCUUUUCCUCCUUUUUUGACUCCAAACUAUGUACAUCCCCCUUCCACUAUAGAUAACGCGAGCACCUCCCUACUCAUUUGGAUCCAAUUUUUAAUCGGGAGGGAGCUAUUUCAUGAUAUUCUAAUUGGGACCAAUGCCAAAAUGGGGAUAGAGAUUUAUGCUCUCCAAAUUUUUGCUCGUCAACUUGGUUUUGGUCAAACUUGGCCUGUUCCUCCUUGCUAUUCAAGGAACUUAGUUGACCGUUUUCAUACCAUUACUAAGGCGGGGGUAGAGGCUAUAGAUGCUCGUAAUCUUCUUUUAACCAGUCAUUUUUCAUUGGCCCCCUUCAAUUCUAGCCACGCCAUUCACCCUCUUUUUGAACAACUCUGGCCGUCGGUGAAGCGCAGAUUAUUUGCGACUGAUGCCAAUCGUGCCUUUCAUUCAUUAGACCAACCGAGCAUUUCUUUUCCUCCUUCUGUUUUGGUCACUCCUUUGUCUGUUCGGAGCCCCUCUCCUUCUCGUCGCACUAAAUAGUCCGCUCGUCCAUCUUCUUCUCUCCCUGCCAAGCCUACUACGGCCAAGAGUGCUCCAAGUCGUAAACGGCAAGCCUCAGCAUCUCCCAUUCUGGAGGAUGAUAUUGAUGAUGAUGAUGAUGCCCCUCUUAUCGUCAGGAGGAAGGUAAUUAAAUUGGUUUACUUACAAGUAUAUUUUUCCACAUUUGAAACUUUUCUGUGUGCUGAUGAUCUUUUGGACUUUUCAGAAAAGCUCAGCCUCUCCUUCAAAGGCUUUGGCAUCGACAACUUCUGCUCCAUCAUCCUCUGCUGAGGCUACUUCAUCCAAAUCGGUUGAUGAGGGGACUACGCUUAAAGAGACAUCUUCAGUCCCAGAGUCCACAUCACAACCCAUGGAUGAGCCACCUUCUUCCCAGGGCGUCAACCCCCCAAACAUCGAAGCAGAAGGUAAU
Molecule: long non-coding RNA, 2756 nt
Filed under: Olea europaea subsp. europaea
Lineage: Eukaryota; Viridiplantae; Streptophyta; Magnoliopsida; Lamiales; Oleaceae
Source: RNAcentral